UACGGGAGGCAGCAGUGAGGAAUAUUGGUCAAUGGGCGAGAGCCUGAACCAGCCAAGUAGCGUGAAGGAUGACUGCCCUAUGGGUUGUAAACUUCUUUUAUAAAGGAAUAAAGUCGGGUAUGCAUACCCGUUUGCAUGUACUUUAUGAAUAAGGAUCGGCUAACUCCGUGCCAGCAGCCGCGGUAAUACGGAGGAUCCGAGCGUUAUCCGGAUUUAUUGGGUUUAAAGGGAGCGUAGAUGGAUGUUUAAGUCAGUUGUGAAAGUUUGCGGCUCAACCGUAAAAUUGCAGUUGAUACUGGAUAUCUUGAGUGCAGUUGAGGCAGGCGGAAUUCGUGGUGUAGCGGUGAAAUGCUUAGAUAUCACGAAGAACUCCGAUUGCGAAGGCAGCCUGCUAAGCUGCAACUGACAUUGAGGCUCGAAAGUGUGGGUAUCAAACAGGAUUAGAUACCCUGGUAGUCCACACGGUAAACGAUGAAUACUCGCUGUUUGCGAUAUACGGCAAGCGGCCAAGCGAAAGCGUUAAGUAUUCCACCUGGGGAGUACGCCGGCAACGGUGAAACUCAAAGGAAUUGACGG
Molecule: ribosomal RNA, 576 nt
Filed under: uncultured bacterium
Lineage: Bacteria
Description: bacterial SSU rRNA
Rfam family: Bacterial small subunit ribosomal RNA
Source: RNAcentral